Lemur catta (Ring-tailed lemur) is the source of this 801-nucleotide long non-coding RNA. RefSeq lists it as uncharacterized. The record is from RefSeq and is a predicted model, not a curated record. NCBI's taxonomy places the organism in Eukaryota, Metazoa, Chordata, Mammalia, Primates, Lemuridae. The transcript is spliced from 3 exons.
GUACUCUUGACAGCAAAGAUCUUCGGCCCUUCAAAGGUGCCCUGAGCCACUAUGUAAGUUGUCUGCUUACUCCACAAAGACACCACAAGGCAAGAUCACAUGUUGAGCACAGGUGAGGAGCCAGAGGACCUCAGACUGGAUGGACAGGGGGAGUGAAGCCAUACCAGCACUCAGGUCUGAGCUCAGCCUUCCAGCACUCCUGUCAAGGCAUCUGUCAAGCCACAGGUGUACUUAGUCACAUCCUGAGGAAGGAUUCCCAGAAGAGAUGUCCUGACCAGGAAAUAAAGUCUCAGAGAUACUGGAGAAGAUGGUCUUUAAGGUUAUUUCCAGCUCCAAAAUGUUAUUAUCUAGAGUCCAUUAUAAAAUGGCCUCUCUUAGUACUAUGAGAUCUGUAAUACAAGAAGGAGAGCAAAUACACAAAGAAGUUUCCGGUGGAUAUCCAAACCUCUCCUAUAGCCUGCACUCAAUUCUACUCACCGUGAAUAGUGGCUUUUGCUUUGAACCACCUAAGUACUUUUGACCCCCUAUUUUAAUCAAUGCCUUGAAUUGAAAAGAAGGUGUCAGACAGUCUCCAGUCAUUGAGGAUGGUAAACAAAACCCUUAUCAUGACUUAAUGGUGUGAGACCUCAGCAAAAAUUUCAUAUAAGCUAAAUUUUUCUCUUGUAUAUCUUCUUAUAUCGGUCACAUAAAAGCCUCUCUCCAAUGACUCUGGUCGCUCAAUUUGAAAAUGGUCUCAGUUGUCUUUUCGUUCUUGAACUAAUGAAAAUAAAAGUGAAAGAAGCAUAACAUUAUUCAACCUCA